CAGAUUCUGUAUUUUAAAAUACCGAAACAAAUGAUGAAGCCUAGAAAAAGCUCUUCACCUUCUCAAGGACAGUAUGGAUAAGAGCAUAUGAUGGGAAUGUUUUUUUACUGGGGGAGGAGGGUUCGAAGCCUUUAGGUUUGGAACUCAGGGAAUAAAUAUCGGCAAUGUUUGAUCUGCUGGGCGGACAGGCACGAGAAUGAUCCGCAGGUGUUCCUCUGAACACCCUCCCAGGCUGGCUGGGGACCCACCCCCUCUCCGGUCCCUUCUUCAUCUCUCCUCCCCGCACAGUUGGAGUUCUGAGGGCACAGACACUUCGCUCUGAGGAAGACCGAUUGGGUUUGUGACCCGGACUCGUUUGUGGAUUUGGCCAGGGAGACCACUGGGCACGAGGUCGAACUUCCUGGGAGUGGCAAGGGCCUUGGAAGGACUGAGUGCCUGAAAGUGGGGAUGAUCCUGGGUCAGAGGGACAGGCCUCCCUGGCCGAGGUGGAGAUGCCCGGGAAAAGCUGAAGCUGACUCAUCCGGAGUGAGGGGACAUCUGGGAGGAGGUCGGGGCCACCCCUGAAAAGGGAGGAGGGACCUCAGCCAGAGGGGGUGAGAGUGGACCUCACAGGAGGAAGCAUCUCUGAACAUCACAGGACAUGCGCAGAUAUGCACAAAUGCUCCCAUGGGCCUAGUCACGUGCUCAAGUCAAAGGCAACAGGAAGUCCUGAUACGUGGCCUCCCAACCCUGGAUGCUAAUGAUUUGUGUGAUAAGCGGGCUAGAGUUGUGCCAACAGCCUAGAGUCACUUGGUCUGCAUGUACAAAUCUCUCUUGGUGCUCAUACCUUAUUUUAGAGCACAUAUUUGAUCAUAUGUUUGAGACCAGAGUUGGGGCCAAUAAUAAAAAAGUGGGAAAAAAAUAAACUUUGCCUUUUGAAAAAGGCUGUCAUGACCCACAAGUACUUUUUUUUUUUGCUUGAGCGAUAAACAACAUGAUAGAUGUAAACAGUUAACUUGUUCUAUAAACAGCAGGGAUGGUCUCAGGUGUGGGGAGAGAGAGGAAUUAAAAGCUGGCUAUUUAGUGGAAAAGAUUUAAGAGACCUACCUAAUCACUAGUCUCAUGGAUGAAGACAUGAAGUCCCAGUGUGGUCCAAUGAUUUAUUUUUUUCCAGAUAAAACAGCCAGAGGAACUCAAGUGCUUUAGCUCUGGUCCAUUGUUCUUUUUAUGGCAUCAGGUAACCCCUGAAGAAGCCACACCCUCAGAGCUAGUGGUCAGAGAAGACACAGGAGAAAUCCCUGAGGCUUUUGGUCAGAAUUUUACAGACAAGGCAAAGCAGUUUGUAGAAGAGGUGAAAGGGACGACAAAGCAGCCAAGAACAGGACUCGUGUGGACAGGAAAGUUGUAGCAAUGUACAAUAAAGGAGGGACCACUUUGGAAGGAAGAAGGAAUUGCAUCAGCUGGAAGGACCUUGAAGAAGGAAAGGGAUAAUAGAAGUCAGAUGGGGAAGCCAGGGAAGGGAUGGGAGCCCAGAUGCUCAGGAAUGCUUGAACUCCUGGGGUCUAGCCUAUUGUCUGAGAUAAGGCUGAAAGGCAGGCUAGGAAGAGCUGUAUGUCAGGUUAAAGUUAUCUCAGUGCGUCUCCAUGAUGUGGUUGAACAGGUGAGUACUGUCAUCAAGCCCAGGUUUUAGAAAGAUGGAUCUGAAAGCAGCAGAAAAGGUGGAUUCAUGCAGGGCAAGAAUCGAGUCAGAGACAGAAAGGAGAUUCUUGCCAUAGUAAAUAAAGGGAAGCUUUAAUGAGCCUGGACUAGGGCAGCAAUUAUGGCCUUUGGGACACUUGAAUGGGCAGUGGAGCUGGGCUUGGCCAGGGAAAAUUACCAGUUUGGUUUUGGACCUAUUGCAUUUGAGAUGCUGGCAGGCUGUCCCCAUGAAAAGGUCCAGCUGGCAGCUGGAGAGCUGGGCCUGGUGGUAGAAGCCCGGGGUUGCAAGCAGAACCCUGGGAGCUGCUAUGGUUAGGGCCAGGGGAGGGGAGAGGAAAGAGGGAGGGAAACAGGAAAGGAGGCGGUCCCCAUUCGAGGGACCACGGCAGCGCAGCAUGAUGGGAGCCAGGAAACCAAAGAUGGUCAAGGAGGAAGUGGCAGCAAACAGUGUCACCUGCUGCAGCAAGGUCAGGGCUAAGGAUCCCUGGGACUGGGGCUACUAUUGGUGUUAGCAGUACAGGCAAAGUACAGAAUGACUCAAAACUCAGGUGUCAAAGGAAGGAAGCACUUUGUGUUUAUACCAACGGAGUAGCAUAAGGGGGGACUUUAAAAAUACUCAUUCAUUCAUUCAUAUUAAUGUCAGAAAGUCAGAGGUCUGUUUGUCAGGGAGGUAUAAGGAGAGAGUGCAAAGAUUGAAUAUGUGAGCAGGCUGUGUCCUGGAAGUGGCUCAGAGAGGGUUGGAGUGGAGGAACGAAGAACAGCCUAGAGCAUGGCUGUGGAACGGCGGGGCCCAUUUUUCAUCAGAGGCAGGAUGGAGGCUGCCGGUGAAGGGACAGAAGAAAGUUAAAAGCGAAAAAGUGGAGUUCCUGCUGUGGCACAAUGGGAUCGGCUGGGUCGCUGCAGCACCAGGACGCAGGCGCAAUCCUGGCCUGGCACAGGAUCCACCACUGCGGCAGGUGCCUAAGUCAAAACCGCAGCUCAGAUCUGAUCCCUGGCCCAGGAACUCCAUAUGCCUCGGGGCGGCCAAAAAAGAGAAAACAAAAACAAAAGAUGGAAAGGUAUUGUUUGGUGGACACAUUUUCAGUUUGAAGUGAUGAGAAAACUCUGGAAAUGGAUGGUGGUGAUGGUUGCAAAGCCCUGGGAAUGUACUUCACGCCGCUGAAUCCUACGCUUAUAAGCGGUAAACGUGGUGCCUGCGUUUUAUCAGAGAGAGAGAAAGGUGAGCUCCCUCUGUCAGUCAAGUAGAUGGGGCCAGUGAGCACCGAGUGUCCCUGAGGGCGGGGACAGAGCAAGAAGAGCAUUGAGGACCCCUAGGGGGCAGAACCACCAGAAGCGUAUUAAGAUCUGGGCGCCAGAAUGGCCCAGGUUCAGGGGGUGCUGUGGGAGAGUCCCCUUUUCUUGGUAAAUCUUUCUUAGUCCUUUCUCAUCCAUCCUUUGCCUGAGAUUCAAUAGCCUCCCAUUUCUCUGAGGAUAACACUAACUCUCCCAGCCCCUACCAGGCUUGGUGGAGCUGAGCCCUGCUCGUUUCUCUAACUCUGCCCCACAACACUUUCCACUCACACUCCUCCCUUCAGCCUCACAGGCCUUCUCAGGCCCUCAGACGUGCCGGGCAACGCUCCCUCCCCAGGGCUUUUGUGUACGCGGUUCCCUCUUGUCAGGCCACCAUGUUGAAGCCUGAAGCCUUCGUCUCCCUUUUCCCUGCUUUCCCGUGGUCACUUCCUCCCAGCACUUGGUGGAACGGUGGGUUCAUGUGUUGACUUAUUCAUUUGCUGUCCCCCCACCAGUCUGUAAAUACUUGCUCAGUAAAUAUCUGUUGAAUGAAUGAAUCUAUCGCUUGACUUUUUGCAGCAGUGCCCAGCAGUCUGGGCGCAAGAGAAAAGAAAACGGGGUGGCCAUUACAUAGACCCGGGGAUGACUUUGGUGAAUGUGUGUAUAAGACAUUGGGGAAUGGGGGGCAUUUACCAAAUUUGAGAAAAACGAAUGUGUGAACCCACUGGCACCUUGAAUAGGCCGAUUGAGAUGAAAGUACCCAAGCAAGCAAGAGCAGCAGAUACACAGGUUUACUACGUAUUCGCAUUCUGCACAGCAAACUGCAGAGGGUGGCCAGGCCCACAAGCCCAUUUGAGUCCCACCCAUACUUCCUGAGUGCCUGAUGUGGUCUGAAACAUCAGCAGUAGUAAAAAGCUACUUGGGCACUUGCUGCAAAUCAGUGCUUGCACUUUAUGCAUUAACUCAUUUAACUCUCACAACAACCCUCUGCGAUAAGUACUUUUCUGAAGAUCAGACAGCAAGAUGGCAGCGUCAGUCCCAUUCAACCUCAGCUUCUCUCUCUCUGCAGAUGCUGGGCUUUAACCACCCCUCGAUUGUUACCAAGUAUGUGGGGUUCCAUAUUCACUGUCACCGCUGUCAAAGCAGUGGGAGAGAGGGUUGACCAUGGCAGGAAAACCCCCAGAGGGUUUACAGAACGCAAGACAGACAGAGGGUCUCCACACAUGUAAUUACCAGGUCACCUGAAUGGGGGCCUAAAAUCUUUCCUUUGUAGAGGCUAAUCUAAAAAUACCUUGUCCAGAGGACACCCAUUUGUGAGGCCUUGAUUGGAAAGCCCCCAUGGAAAGGCCACAUCUUGAGUCCCCUUUACGGUCAUUCUUCCUCCUCCUCUUAAGCAUCAAACGCUGUCUUUGGCACUUUGCAGCCUGGACAGAAGGUUUGCCUUCAAGGGCAUACAGGGAAAGCCAUCAUUUUCUGCCCCCGCUCAGUGCAAUAGCCAAUUUUCAUUUUCCGUUCUUAAAAAUUAGCACCCGUAGGAUAGGAGCAGCUUUCGGGGGUGGAGUUCCGUUGAAAUUUCAGCUUGAGAGCUUGGAAGGAAAAAUAAGAUCAAAGCAGAGUAACAUGAGGAAAUGUAAAUAUUAGGGAAACGGCCAGGAGAGGAUGGCGAGACCCUAGUCUGUCUGACAGCAGAUUUCCAAGGAGAACUGUUAUUUUCAUGACCAGUUCACAUGUAAAUCGUCAACAGAACGGGUUACUUUGGCAAAGGGGAGUUCAGAAAACCUGCUUGAUCGCAUUCGCUCAACCUGCUUUGCUUUUCCGUCGACGUCAAUAUUUUCCAGCCUAAGCAAGUGCUCCCAAGCCCCAUGGGAGGGGUGAAGCCCAGGCCGGAAGCCCUCCCAGCAUCAGCCCCCUUUGGGUAAUGGAGAGACAGUUCCCCUUGGGAUCUGCUGGAAUGGUUUCGCGCCCUGGCCAUGACGGUAGCGAGGCUGAAAGAGAUAGAUUGGUGCUGGAAGAGAGCCCUGCCUCCUUUCCUGAGUCUGCUGAGCCCAGAGUAGAUGGUCUGAUCGGCAGUGGAUAUUAACAUGUAAGGCUGAAUGCAGAAUCACUGUUGCCUGGGGAAGGGAGUGGUGCUGUUAUGGCUCCAGAAAUCAUUUCUCCUUAUUUUCAUUGACCACCGUCCUGCUCAUGGAACGAGGCAGAGUAAGGUACCAUGGAGGAUACAGUGAGGUGGUUUUGCAAGAACCGUAGGUUGAACACUGUUCAGAAGAUCACGCUUAGCUUCAGCAGACCACAGCUGCGUGGGAAAUACAUUAGCCUGUUAAUAAUCCGACAAGACUUACCCAGGGGGAUGACUGAACAAGAAUGUAUUUUGAUUUUAUUCCCAAACAAUGAAGAUUUCCAUUCAUUGCUAUGCAUCUCUCGCCUGUCACUCUGUAAUCAUGGAACCUGAGGAAGAAUGUCCAAAGUUUAAAGGGGUACUUGGGAGUUCCUGUUGUGGCUCACCAGUAACAAACCCGUCUAGUAUCCAUGAGGAUGUGGGUUCGAUCCCUGGCCUCGCUUAUUGGGUUAAGGAUCCGGCAUUGCUGUGAGCUGUGGUGUGGGUUGCAGAUGUGGCUUGGAUUUGGCGUUGCUGUGGCUGUGGUGUAGGCUGGCAGCUGUAGCUCUGAUUCACCCCAGCCUGGGAACUUCCAUAUGCCACUGGUGUGACCCUAAAAA
This 5661-nucleotide long non-coding RNA is filed under the name Sus scrofa (pig). Its description in RNAcentral is "lncRNA (ENSSSCG00015007754.1)". The record is from RNAcentral. Lineage: Eukaryota; Metazoa; Chordata; Mammalia; Artiodactyla; Suidae.